Molecule: ribosomal RNA, 453 nt
Filed under: uncultured Prevotellaceae bacterium
Lineage: Bacteria; Pseudomonadati; Bacteroidota; Bacteroidia; Bacteroidales; Prevotellaceae
Description: partial 16S ribosomal RNA
Rfam family: Bacterial small subunit ribosomal RNA
Source: RNAcentral
ACGGGAGGCAGCAGUGAGGAAUAUUGGUCAAUGGGCGGAAGCCUGAACCAGCCAAGUCGCGUGAAGGAUGAAGGUAUUAUGUAUUGUAAACUUCUUUAGCAGUGGAGUAAUAAGGGAGUCGUGACUCCUGAUGCAAGUACACUGAAAAUAAGGAUCGGCUAACCCCGUGCCAGCAGCCGCGGUAAUACGGAAGAUCCGAGCGUUAUCCGGAUUUAUUGGGUUUAAAGGGAGCGUAGGCGGGCGUUUAAGUCAGUGGUCAAAGCGUGUGGCUCAACCAUACCACGCCAUUGAUACUGGAUGCCUUGAGUGCACAUAAGGAUGGUGGAAUUCAUGGUGUAGCGGUGAAAUGCUUAGAUAUCAUGAAGAACUCCGAUUGCGAAGGCAGCUGUCCGGGGUGUAACUGACGCUAAUGCUCGAAAGUGCGGGUAUCAAACAGGAUUAGAUACCCUGGUA